RNAcentral lists this unclassified non-coding RNA (221 nucleotides) under Paraglomerales sp. RNAcentral describes it as "partial contains 5.8S ribosomal RNA and internal transcribed spacer 2". The stretch from base 1 to 65 matches the Rfam family "5.8S ribosomal RNA", at positions 84 to 154 of the family's 154-position model. Lineage: Eukaryota; Fungi; Glomeromycota; Glomeromycetes; Paraglomerales. The record is from RNAcentral.
GUGAAUCAUCAAAUCUUUGAACGCACAUUGCGCCUUUUUCGGAAGGCAUGUCUGUUUGGGGGCACCAUUUAACAAAUAAUGUGUAUUUUUGUGUGCACAUGUUGAUGUGCUUUACAAAAUUAUGUAUUAUUUUUGGUGGCGCAUAUUAACCAGCGCGAUGCUUUUUUUCAGUUCGAGUGUAGUAAAAUUUUUUCUUGCUAGGGUUGUGAAAAAGUGUGCUU